CUGGCUUCCCGUUUGCACUGAGGCAUUGACUUUCCAUCUUCUGCUGCGGUGCCAAAUUCCCCAAUGGGAUGGCAUCCAUGUGUUCUUAAGUCUGUCCGGUGCCACGCCACCCCCAACAGGCUCAGGCUAGGGGGAGCAGAAAGAUGGAGCAGAAAAAGAUUAUUGAAGAUUGAAGACAAAACUUUUGGUCUAAAGAAUCAGAAAGGAGGAGCAAAGCAAAAGAACUUUAUCAAGGCCUUCGGUCAAGUUAAAUUAAAAUCUACGUCAGGUAGUACAAUGUGAAGCUGAAGAGAAACUGAAGAAAGAUGAUAGCAGGAGUUAAACGAGCUGUUCAAACCUGUAGUUGCUGCUCAGAAAAUAAGUAAAGUUGCAGAUCCCAAAUCCGUGGUUUGUGGCUUCUUCAAGCAAGGACUGUACUGAAGGAGAAUCAACAGGAUGUCAUUUCCCAAGCUGAUUCUGGAGGGCUUACUCUCCUCUACAAAAGGAAUAUUCUCCCUAUGUCUUCUCUUCUGACUUCUGACAUCUUGCAGAGAGACCUAAGAUUAAGGAAUUUGCCCACAGCUGCACAAAUAGGAAGGGGAGAAGCAUGAAAAUGAACUAGAUCUGUCUGCUACCGAAGCUUGUGUCCUAUCACCCACACUUGGAUGCCAUGCCUAGGAGUUUGGAGUCAGUCUUUCUCCUUUUGAUCAACACCUUGCUUGUGAUUUUGUUAGUACUAUUUUAUGCCAUCCAUGACUCAUCUUCCAGAGGUCGAGAAAGGGGCUUCCAAUAACAGCGAAGAGCAAAAAGAC
Heterocephalus glaber (naked mole-rat) is the source of this 791-nucleotide long non-coding RNA. The record is from Ensembl. NCBI's taxonomy places the organism in Eukaryota, Metazoa, Chordata, Mammalia, Rodentia, Bathyergidae.